AUUACGGAGUGCGGGCCCUCGCGGCCCAACCCCCUACCCUUGUCUCUUACACCUGUUGCUUUGGCGGGCCCACCGGGGCCACCUGGUCGCCGGGGGACGCACGUCCCCGGGCCCGCGCCCGCCGAAGCGCUCUGUGAACCCUGAUGAAGAUGGGCUGUCUGAGUAUUAUGAAAAUUGUCAAAACUUUCAACAAUGGAUCUCUUGGUUCCGGCAUCGAUGAAGAACGCAGCGAAAUGCGAUAAGUAAUGUGAAUUGCAGAAUUCCGUGAAUCAUCGAAUCUUUGAACGCACAUUGCGCCCCCUGGCAUUCCGGGGGGCAUGCCUGUCCGAGCGUCAUUUCUGCCCUCAAGCACGGCUUGUGUGUUGGGUGUGGUCCCCCCGGGGACCUGCCCGAAAGGCAGCGGCGACGUCCGUCUGGUCCUCGAGCGUAUGGGGCUUUGUCACUCGCUCGGGAAGGACCUGCGGGGGUUGGUCACCACCAUAUUUUACCACGGUUGACCUCGGAUCAGGUAGGAGUUACCCGCUGAACUUAAGCAUAUCAUAAGCCGGAGG
RNAcentral lists this ribosomal RNA (551 nucleotides) under Talaromyces aculeatus. RNAcentral's name for it is "eukaryotic LSU rRNA". The stretch from base 182 to 335 matches the Rfam family "5.8S ribosomal RNA". The record is from RNAcentral. Lineage: Eukaryota; Fungi; Ascomycota; Eurotiomycetes; Eurotiales; Trichocomaceae.